GGGCCUAUAGCUCAGCUGGCUAGAGCUACCGGCUCAUAACCGGUAGGUCCCAGGUUCGAAUCCUGGUGGGCCCACCA
Molecule: transfer RNA, 77 nt
Filed under: Syntrophus sp. PtaB.Bin138
Lineage: Bacteria; Pseudomonadati; Thermodesulfobacteriota; Syntrophia; Syntrophales; Syntrophaceae
Also listed under: 1 other name
Description: tRNA-Met
Rfam family: tRNA
About the family: Transfer RNA (tRNA) molecules are approximately 80 nucleotides in length. Their secondary structure includes four short double-helical elements and three loops (D, anti-codon, and T loops).
Source: RNAcentral